This 1079-nucleotide ribosomal RNA is filed under the name Micrococcus terreus. RNAcentral describes it as "bacterial SSU rRNA". It matches the Rfam family "Bacterial small subunit ribosomal RNA", at positions 129 to 1219 of the family's 1533-position model. The record is from RNAcentral. Lineage: Bacteria; Bacillati; Actinomycetota; Actinomycetes; Micrococcales; Micrococcaceae.
CCCUUGACUCUGGGAUAAGCCUGGGAAACUGGGUCUAAUACUGGAUAUGACUUCUCACCGCAUGGUGGGGGGUGGAAAGAUUUAUUGGUCUUGGAUGGACUCGCGGCCUAUCAGCUUGUUGGUGAGGUAAUGGCUCACCAAGGCGACGACGGGUAGCCGGCCUGAGAGGGUGACCGGCCACACUGGGACUGAGACACGGCCCAGACUCCUACGGGAGGCAGCAGUGGGGAAUAUUGCACAAUGGGCGCAAGCCUGAUGCAGCGACGCCGCGUGAGGGAUGACGGCCUUCGGGUUGUAAACCUCUUUCAGUAGGGAAGAAGCGAAAGUGACGGUACCUGCAGAAGAAGCGCCGGCUAACUACGUGCCAGCAGCCGCGGUAAUACGUAGGGCGCGAGCGUUAUCCGGAAUUAUUGGGCGUAAAGAGCUCGUAGGCGGUUUGUCGCGUCUGCCGUGAAAGUCCGGGGCUUAACCCCGGAUCUGCGGUGGGUACGGGCAGACUAGAGUGCAGUAGGGGAGACUGGAAUUCCUGGUGUAGCGGUGAAAUGCGCAGAUAUCAGGAGGAACACCGAUGGCGAAGGCAGGUCUCUGGGCUGUAACUGACGCUGAGGAGCGAAAGCAUGGGGAGCGAACAGGAUUAGAUACCCUGGUAGUCCAUGCCGUAAACGUUGGGCACUAGGUGUGGGGGACAUUCCACGUUUUCCGCGCCGUAGCUAACGCAUUAAGUGCCCCGCCUGGGGAGUACGGCCGCAAGGCUAAAACUCAAAGGAAUUGACGGGGGCCCGCACAAGCGGCGGAGCAUGCGGAUUAAUUCGAUGCAACGCGAAGAACCUUACCAAGGCUUGACAUGUUCCUGACCGCCGUAGAGAUACGGUUUCCCCUUUGGGGCAGGUUCACAGGUGGUGCAUGGUUGUCGUCAGCUCGUGUCGUGAGAUGUUGGGUUAAGUCCCGCAACGAGCGCAACCCUCGUUCCAUGUUGCCAGCACGUAGUGGUGGGGACUCAUGGGAGACUGCCGGGGUCAACUCCGAAGAAAGGUGGGGACGACGUCAAAUCAUCAUGCCCCUUAUGUCUUGGGCUUCAC